Molecule: ribosomal RNA, 479 nt
Filed under: uncultured bacterium
Lineage: Bacteria
Description: bacterial SSU rRNA
Rfam family: Bacterial small subunit ribosomal RNA
Source: RNAcentral
AAUCAACGCUGGCGGCGUGCCUCAGACAUGCAAGUCGAACGAUUAAAGCUCUCUUCGGAGAGUGUAUAGAGUGGCGCACGGGUGAGUAACACGUAAGUAAUCUACCCUCGAGUGGGGAAUAACAACCGGAAACGGUUGCUAAUACCGCAUAAUGCAGCGGCACCGCAAGGUGACAGUUGUUAAAGAUUUAUCGCUUGAGGAGGAGCUUGCGGCAGAUUAGCUAGUUGGUAGGGUAACGGCUUACCAAGGCUACGAUCUGUAACCGGUCUAAGAGGACGGUCGGUCACACUGACACUGAAUAACGGGUCAGACUCCUACGGGAGGCAGCAGUCGGGAAUUUUGGGCAAUGGGCGAAAGCCUGACCCAGCAACGCCGCGUGAAGGAUGAAGUAUUUCGGUAUGUAAACUUCGAAAGAAUAGGAAGAAGUUAAUGACGGUACUAUUUAUAAGGUCCGGCUAACUACGUGCCAGCAGCCGCGG